This is a long non-coding RNA of Larimichthys crocea (large yellow croaker), 2016 nucleotides long. RefSeq lists it as uncharacterized. NCBI's taxonomy places the organism in Eukaryota, Metazoa, Chordata, Actinopteri, Sciaenidae. The record is from RefSeq and is a predicted model, not a curated record. The transcript is spliced from 2 exons.
CUAGCUUUCAAAAUAAAAGCCCGAGAACACGCUGGUGAUAACGGGGUUAAAAUCAGUGGGAGGGUUAAAACAUGAUCAAAUCAUUGUCUUGUACUAUGCUGCUCUGGCUUUCCUUGUAGCUUGUAAAAGGAUCCUAUUUAUUUGUAAUACAAGCUACAAAUAUGGCAUUCUGUGCACCCUAAAAGAAGAGCAUUCAUCAUUUGAAUAGUCUCCAGACACAGCAAUAUUAUCUGAAGGUUGAAAAUAGCCAGACUUGAGACCAUGUUGCUAAGCAAUAACAUGGCAAACAUCCAGCUCAGUUGUUCUUUGUAUGUACAGAACAAUAUUUAUGGUUGUAGCAGAGACUGAAAUAGCUGUUUCCACUAUGACUCACUGAUAAUUGAAGAGGCAAAGUGCUCAUUCUUUAAUAAUUCAUAACCAAAGACACCAAGCAUUAACAACACAAUGCUCCUUGUUUAGUACCCUCAGGAUAUGUGUGUGUGCUUUACCAUUUCCUGCUUAGAAUACAUUUGUAAUGUAAAUGGAGCCGUAAAGAGACCCACGGCUGAAAAAAAAAAGGAAAAGAAAAAAGGAUGCCUUAAAGCGGAGUGCACGAGAAACAGCACUGUCACUAUGGUGUCAGCACUGAGCGGAAAACAAUUUCGUUUCAGUUUAGGACUAACAUCAUUUUUUAAAAAUCCCAUCAAAGCUGUUCAUCCUUUCAGCCGCCACCCCCCACCCCUCCACCCCUGCAGACAGCCACACCUCACACCUUCUGCUCACUGCAGCCGUGACAUGCUUCAAUGCCAAUACCAACCAGGAGGAUUGGAGGGAAAAACAGAUUUCUUCUCCGAACCAGACUGACCCCCCCACCCUUAAUCACUGUUGCCAUGGCAACUAGUGCUCAGACUGAUGAAAACAAUAUCUGCUGGUCCUCCAGCAGAGCAGCGAUGACAAAGGUGCACUGCGUCCUCUAGUGGGGGAGAGAAAAAACAGACGUGACCUGCUUUUUAGCAUUUCCAGAACCUUCUUACAGCUAUGAGUAAAUCAAACAAGGACAGCCUCUCUAUUAUUUACUAUUUAACCACACUGGCUCGUAAUAUUAUCCAUUUUUAUAUUAGAUACUAUUCACCUGACUCAGUCAUUAUGUUCUAUUGGACCAGGGUGCAUCAGUAGCUGUGAGUCCAUGAAACAAAUACACCUUUCUUUCUCUUUGGAAGGAACCAAAACCGACACAUUUAUUUAAAUGUGAUUUUUUUUUUCUGCUUUGUAAUGAUGUGAAAUUCAAGAAGAAGACUUCAAAGCCCCGAAGUAGGAAUGUGUCCCAGAUUUGACAUUGUGGCAUUAUGUAAACACGCUGUUUACAAGGACAGGGGGAGAGCAGAGCAGGAAGAGCAGAUAGAAGUCAAAACACCAUCUAAUGUGCAGCUCAAACAGCAUUAAGUCCUGCUGACUGCGACGGGCAUGUCUGAUUUAUCUCAUCACAGGAUGUUAAAGAGUGAUCUAAGGAGCCAGAUGUUGCCACCAUGCAGAGAUAGUUUUUCAUCAACAUUUGCAAAUCCAUUAUUUGUGCUGAAGCAGAGAGCAACAUUUACAGAUGUACCACCAGGGGGAAGCAGACCUCAGGCAACAGCAACACAAGCACUUCCCACCCACCCCUAGCAGAGACACACACACACAUAACAGUGGAGCAUCCCAUUUCUCUCAGCGAUCCUGUUUAGUUUGCCAGCCUUGUAAACAAAACAAUGUGAAAGGACACCAUGCAGGUAGCUACCCAGGAAGUAAACAAAUACAAAUAUGGUGUUAGUUUUAUGACUAGAAAAAUAUGCUGUCAAUAAUAUUCAAACUGUUUUUAUCCCUUGAUACGACGGGGAAGGUUUUGAACAUAAGCGUACAUGCGGUAGCACACACAACACUACCUGUUCCACAAGCUGGCAGCACUAUUUCUGGAAAGCCAGUACUCAAGAUAGUAGCUUAUAAGCCAAGGUGAAACCACUGCAACAAUGAAAAGAUCACAGGGUCAUCUGAGGCAGUAAU